UUUUCAUCGAAGAACACGCAAAGGUUAGCAGGGGCUACCUCACAGCAUCCAGGCCAACCGGCUCGCCUGUGGAGUCCUUUCAUGACCCAACACAGCCCAGCACCACAGAUUUUCAAGGGUCAGGUGGUGUGUUUUGUUCACCCUAAAGCUAACUGGGCUUUCCUUUCAUCUCAAGUGGAGCUUCUGGAGAAAAUCUGAAUCGUCAAACCUUCUCAUCCUCUGGAUGGAGCGUCCAGGUAUGGUUUGUCUCCAUGAAACACACGACCGUUUUUCAGUCUGACUUUAAUCACAAACGUCUUCUCUUGUUUUGUUUUUUUUAAUUAGGGUUAUUACACAAAUGAACCUGUUCACUGAAUCUGCACCUCACACUGCUUCAAAAUGUUGAAUAUUUGAAGGUGUCAAUUUCGGUGACAUAAUUCAGGUGUGUGUUUAAUGUGUAUGUUUUAUGCACGUGUUUCAGGCGUCUGUUUGAUGAUCAUGACUCAGGAAUGUGUAUCAGAAAUGCGUUUCAGGUGUCCGUGGCCCGGGACUGCAGUCACCUGCUGACUGCAGGUGAUGUAAGCUCUUCAUUGAUGGAGAUGUUGACUUUUAACUGCAGCUGCAGAACCACAAUAGAAAUGGUCGGGUCGUGUGUCUUUCAAAGUAAACAGCUGGAUCCCUAUAAAGGCUUUUCCUCGGCUGAGGCUGAAGCACUCGGCCAUGGCGGCUCUCCGGAUGCUCGUUUUCCUGACGUUUGGCAUUCCAGGCACUCAUCUCUCAAACUGCUCAUAUUAUGGUCUGCUGAACUAUUUGAACCUUACAACGUCCAGUCAAGUUCUCCAGGUCAUGAGACCCGUGCACAGCUGGAACCAAACCUCAAAAGUCUCCUUAGACAUGGUGAUGUAUGGCAUCAUG
Molecule: long non-coding RNA, 894 nt
Organism: Oryzias melastigma (Indian medaka)
Lineage: Eukaryota; Metazoa; Chordata; Actinopteri; Beloniformes; Adrianichthyidae
Exons: 3
Source: RefSeq, a predicted model, not a curated record